CGGGGCGGGCCUCGCCCUGGGAGCCUGAGUCCAGAAGGCAGGAAGUGCUGGCUCUGAGGACAGAAACAUGGGCCCUGCGGGCUGCGUCUUCCUGCUGCCCCUUCUGCUGGGGAUCUCAGGCACAGAUGAGGAGGAACCAAAGAAUCUCGUGACGUCAAUGUGUGGGCGGCCCGCGGUCUUACCUGGCACUGCCUCAGGCACGGAGGCCAACGUGGGGCAGUGGCCCUGGCAGGUCAGCAACCGCCAGGGCUUGUUUCACAUCUGUGUGGCCACCCUCAUCUGAAAGCAGUGGGUACUGACAGUGGCAAGCUGCUUCUGGUCUAAGGACACCAGAAAAUACAAGGUAUUGGUGGGGUCACUUCAGGUCUCUGGUCACCAAGACUCCAAAACGAUGAUCAUCACCGUGUCCAGGAUUGUUCCGUACCCCGACUUCCAGAGAAAUGCAUCCAGCGCCAUUGCUGUGGCAGAACUGGCCCACCUGGUUUCCUUUGGCCCCACUGUCCUGUCCAUCUGCCUCCCUUCAUCGGCAGUCCAGCUGAAGAACUCAACCUCCUGCUGGGUGACUGGAUGGGGCAAUUCUGGGGUAUCCCAAUGGCAGUAGAGGAGAUCCCCUGACGUGUAAAGUGGAGGAUUUCUGGGUCCUGGCAGGAGUGGUGAGCUGGGAAUCAAACUGCAUCGGAACCAAUGAGCCUGGAGUAUUUACAAACAUCAGUUUCUACAAGUCUUGGAAUGAGAAGUCAGCCAUCUCGCACGCUGACCUCAGGCCGGACUUCUCCGGGCUCUUCCCUGUUGUGCUUCUGCCUCUCAUUUUCCCAGGGCUACCCUAACUGGCUGAGGUCAGUAUGGCCAAGGUGAAGUGGCAAUUAAGAAUGACGGAGAAAGUGGAAAUUCUAGAAGUUGAGGAUUUUGAGGAGAUUCUGAAGCUUCAGCAAGACAGAUGCAGUUCUGCUACCUCUGGGUGCAGCCCCCAGGAGCCCAGUCUGCUUGCUGCCUUGUCUCCUGUAGGUCAACCUGGGAAGCAAGGUCCCCGGCAUGAAUAAAGUUUGGUUGGUUCUAAC
Molecule: long non-coding RNA, 1058 nt
Organism: Balaenoptera acutorostrata (minke whale)
Lineage: Eukaryota; Metazoa; Chordata; Mammalia; Artiodactyla; Balaenopteridae
Exons: 5
Source: RefSeq, a predicted model, not a curated record